This is an RNA transcript of Dreissena polymorpha, 2096 nucleotides long. RefSeq lists it as uncharacterized. The record is from RefSeq and is a predicted model, not a curated record. The transcript has 3 exons. Lineage: Eukaryota; Metazoa; Mollusca; Bivalvia; Myida; Dreissenidae.
UUGUUCAUUCGACAGGCAAGCAGGGUAGAGCGUUGACGUGCUUUAAAUCGUUUUAUUUUUCUGCUCAACCACAUUUAAUUGUGAAAGUUAUUUUAUUUUUGCACCAUAUUUGCAUUGGCAAUUUGUUAAAUAUGGACAGUCAAGACGAGAGGCGUGAUCGCAUAGUCGGCGAAGAUAGAGCUGACAAUGUAAAUGGACACACGGAGCGACCACGUGGUAGCGGUCACGAAGGUAGGCCCUCGGGGGGUAGGGAAGAAUUGUUUGACGUGUUUGGUCUAUUUAGAAGCUACUUUGAUUCACAUUUGUCAUCGUUAACAAGGGAUAUUACAAGCCAUAAAAAUGUUGAUAAAAUUGAUGUGCCUGCUUUCAAGAGUGCCUCAUGUAAACAUCAGUUCGUAUUCAAUACUGAAAUCUGCUCUUUGCUUCAAUGUAUAUUGAACAGCGAUAGUCUUGGCUUUGCUAAAGAAAAGGUAAAAGAAGGUUUGAAAAAACUAACUAACAGAAAUAAACUUGUCAGGUUAGCUGAUUCUUACCCCGGAUCUGGGCCACUGUUGCUGAAUAUGAAAAACCAGUAAUAGGGUCGGAUAGUGAUGAUGAAAAGAAAAUAAAUAAAGCCGAGGCUAGAGCUGUCAAAAAACUGAAAUCAAAUCCUUCUAAUUCGUUGAAUGUACGUUCUGUUUUCAAUCGUUUGGCUGAUCGACCAUCUGCUUCCGCUUCCCCGGCUCCACCAGCGCAGGAUCCUUUUGUUGGUCCUCUUUUCCCAUCUCGUCCGAUGGCUAUGGAGGUCGAGCGCCGACAGUUUUUUCGGCCCUAUCCAGCCAGAGCCGGCGCCAACACCACGUGCUUCGCUUGUGGACGACAGGGCCAUUUCCGGCGCGAGUGCGAGUGAGUUAACCGUUUCCAGGGAAACAUCGUGCCUAGACGUGAGACCGGAAAUCCAGAUAGAAAACCUAUCAUAUUAUAAGUAUAUUGCUGGUUUAGACAUUUCUGACAUUGAUGCGCAUUGUGAAGAAAAGUAUCAGUUAUCACAUUCUUCAACUGUAAAAGGCAGUUUAAAGAGACAUGUUCGUUUUUGGAAAAGCAUCGGUGCCAACCCUGAUAUAAUUGACUGUAUUGUAGGCGGUUACAAAUUACCAUUAAUAGAAUUACCUGAAAAAUGUGUAUCUGCAAAUAACCAAUCAGCUUUAAAGCAUAUAGAUUUUGUAAACGAGUCCGUGCAGGAUAUGUUAAAUAAUGGCUUUAUUGUAGAAUCAAUAGAAAUCCCUCAUGUUGUAAGUCAAUUAAGUGUAGCCGUAAAUGCAGCCGGCAAGAAAAGGUUGAUUUUAGAUUUACGAUUUGUUAAUAAAUACAUAUGGGAAGAAAAAAUGACUUUCGAAGACUGGAAAACGGGGAUUGAAUAUUUUGAUCCGAAUUGUUUUUGCUUCAAGUUUGAUUUGUCAAAAGGUUAUUAUCAUUUGGACAUAUUUUCUGAACACCAGAAGUAUUUGGGAUUUUCUUUAAAUGGUAAAUACUAUGUUUAUACAGUGGUUCCUUUUGGUUUGUCGUGCGCACCUUUUUGUUUUGUUAAGUGCCUUAGGGAUAUCAUUAAAUACUGGCGUUUUAAUGGCAUAAAAAUUGUAUUUUUUUCUUAGAUGACGGUUGGUGUACUAAUUCUAAUAUCGAAAAUGCAACACAAGAUGCAAAUUUUGUUCGAAACACAUAACACGAAGCUGGAAUUGUAAUCAAUGAGGAAAAGUCAAUAUGGAUACCAGUUCAGAGGCUAGAAUGGAUGCCUUUAAGAUGGGUCGCUGGAUCAGCAGAGAAUGUCUUCCAUCACAAUUGCAAACGUCUGAAGAAAUUCUGAAGGAUUUGGUCAAAACAGCAAAGUCAGAUAACACCUACAAACAUGAGUGUUCAGAGAGUAGAAGGAUGACUUAAGAUAGAAAGGGGCAUUGGUUCCGGACAUUAACGAGUAUACUUGUUAUACUCCAUUUUUCACAGUUCUAUGUAUAAUGACACUUAUUUGCCAUUCAUUCCUUAUGGCAAUGUUUUUUUUGGAACCAGUGUUUGUGCGUGUGUUUUCAAGAAAUAAAUUACCCUGCUUGUCAUGACACCUA